This 253-nucleotide ribosomal RNA is filed under the name uncultured bacterium. RNAcentral describes it as "partial 16S ribosomal RNA". It matches the Rfam family "Bacterial small subunit ribosomal RNA", at positions 524 to 776 of the family's 1533-position model. The record is from RNAcentral.
UACAGAGGGGGCAAGCGUUGUUCGGAAUUACUGGGCGUAAAGGGCGCGUAGGCGGCCUUCUAAGUCGAACGUGAAAUCCCCGGGCUCAACCCGGGAACUGCGUCCGAUACUGGAAGGCUUGAAUCCGGGAGAGGGAUGCGGAAUUCCAGGUGUAGCGGUGAAAUGCGUAGAUAUCUGGAGGAACACCGGUGGCGAAGGCGGCAUCCUGGACCGGCAUUGACGCUGAGGCGCGAAAGCUAGGGGAGCAAACGGG